This 253-nucleotide ribosomal RNA is filed under the name uncultured bacterium. RNAcentral describes it as "partial 16S ribosomal RNA". It matches the Rfam family "Bacterial small subunit ribosomal RNA", at positions 524 to 776 of the family's 1533-position model. The record is from RNAcentral.
UACGUAGGCAGCAAGCGUUGUUCGGAGUUACUGGGCGUAAAGGGUGCGUAGGCGGCUUUUUAAGUUUGGUGUGAAAUCUCCCGGCUCAACUGGGAGGGUGCGCCGAAUACUGAGAGGCUAGAGUGUGGGAGAGGAAAGUGGAAUUCCUGGUGUAGCGGUGAAAUGCGUAGAUAUCAGGAGGAACACCGGUGGUGUAAACGGCUUUCUGAACCAUAACUGACGCUGAGGCACGAAAGCGUGGGUAGCAAACAGG